CAAGCUCAUCGACCUACGCCAUGGACGAUCCCAGCGGAACGGCAUCUCAAUUUUUGUUUGCGUGCUUGGACUUCGCUUUUGCGGGCUGUGUGGCCGACGAGAACAUGUAACUUUCACGAGAGCCUCUUCUGGUGGUUGGCUGCUUACAAGUAUUCUGCAGUUUCAGCAGUUAACAUGAUCGCUUGAGCCAGGUUUACUAUGGACAAGGAUUGGUGGGUGCGAGGCUCCUGAACCAUUCAUGAGUAAGCACAGCAGGCUGCGUGUGUGCUCGCUUUCAACGUCCAUGCAGCCAAAGAAGGUUCAUGGUCCAUGGUAUUUUCUCUCUCUCCAGUGUACUGUAUGUGUGUUGCAAUUACUUAAAUUUGAAAGAUUUCUGUGAGGUCCUGCUCUGCAGCAUUUCUAUUAGCUCCCAUAUCUGGUGCCUCAUGUCCGGCCAGCUUUGCAGCCGUAACGACGCCAAAUCUAAGACAAGCAGGAGUUCUCCCUUCACCUCUCUCACCCCCAUUGGUGCACACACCUAUUCAGUAACAUCUUUAUAGUUUGUUGAUUGGUGUAGGCUGACCCAAAUAAGGUGUUGACAUACUCAUUUGUCUCAGUGUUCCCUAAUGCUGCUGCAAGAAGGCAUAUAGCAGUUGCAUUUUCGAAGCUUUGUGUCAAAUUUGUGAUAGGUUGGGCAAAUAACAGAGUAAAGCAUAUAGUUUUAUUUAUUCUGUAGCAAGUGUUAGUGCUAUGAAAUUUAAGGUUCAUGAGAAGAACUGAUAGAUUGUAUAAGACCAGACCUUUCAUAGUUAUAUGAUUUACUUAAAUCUUAUAUUAGGAUUUACUCAGCUAAAACACGGGUGUAGAUCCUCUCCAUGUGCUAAGAUUAGGUUUUUAUAGGUCACUUGAGACUUAUUCACAUGUUGAUCUUCUGAAAAAAAAGUUCAAUGAGACAUGAGUCUUUUGAAAAAACAGUUCAAUGACAUGUUUAUUCACUGGUCAAUGGCUAAUGGUUUAUACACUUAAUGAGAAAAAACACGCCAUGAAAAUUUGGGUCCACAAUGUCCUAACACAUUUAUUUAUUUUAUGUGUUGAACCAGUGUUUAUACAUAUUUACAAUAUUUACCAUGUUUUCUGAAAUUUGUGAAUUUUUGUCUACAAGCCAGACUGCAGCUUGCUCUACAGAUGAACUGCACUACCUGUUUUCAUCUUACAUAUGUGAGUUGCUUCUUACUGAAACUAAUUUUACAUCUGUAUAUUAUUAUUAAGUGGUGCCUACUAACCAUUCAUAGAGUUACUAUAUUCAGUCACCUUGCUCAUUAUCCUCCCAGCAGUUUUAGAAAUAAGGUCUUAACUAUGUGCAUGUACCUUCAGUAGAAAUCUUUAGUCGAGGUAUUUCACACUAUCCGAAUGCGGUGACGGGCCUAUCGUAUUUGCAUCUUUUGAGUUAAGCCUAGCAAAUGCCCUUGCAAAUGGACUACACUCAUGCACAUUUGUUAGAAGUCAGGGUAUGUGCAUGCUAUGCGAGCUUUUCAUUUACUAUUUAGAAUAAGUUAAAUUUUCUUAAUGUAAGGACUAUAAUUCAGUAACACGUUCUGGUAGGCAACAAUCAUCUAUAGCUAAGGCCACACCCACAAAUCUUCGUACAAUUAGUCUGAACGGGUUAUCAAUAGGGGAAAUAUAUUGCCACACACUGGAUAAUCUUGGAAAAACUCAUGCUUAUAAAAAAAAUGAUGACCUGGGCUAUGGAUGAUGUUAUUGGUUGCCACUAUGACCCAAAAGGCAUUUUCUGUGCUAAAUCUGUUACAAAAUCUAAAUUGAAGAUAAGUAAAGAGAAUCAAUGGCGGUUUAUUUACUGAUAGCUCUCAACCAAACCUAAUAUGGAAAAAGGUUUAGAAGCCGAACUGUCCGUACAAUGUAAAACACUUAUUGCGGAGAUUGGAAAAUAUCUCUUUUGCUCGGAGGAGGAAUUUGCACUAGCAAGGAAAGACAUUGACACCUUUUGUUCAAUAUACAUUCGAUUUGAUUGAGAUGGUUCACAUAAUUGUUUCCGUUGGAAGUUUGUAGCGUUAUUUGUGUGUUUUAACCUGCAUAAUGUCAGAAAUUUAGAGACUCUUGAGCAGUGCAAAUCUGCACUCAAUAUUCGUGGAAUCCUCUCCCUAGAAUCCAAUUCACAUUUGAUAGUCCUAACUUCUAUUUGAAAGUAGUGGGAGGAAAGAAAUAAUAGCAGUAGGGUUGAAAGAAGUGAUAUUCUGAGGUACUAUGCUUUAUCAGCACACUGCGGAAUACAUCAAUGAUCACAUGCUACCCAAGUUCGUGUGGUGGAAAUCUCCUGAUGCUGACAAAUUGGAGCUCAGUAUUAAAGGCUUCUACAGUGCUGGAUUGAGCUGGGAUGGCCGGGAUUUCGUCAUUUGGGAUUGCACAAAAUGUUUAUCGCUGCUUGAUCUGGUCAGUAUGAGCAUCUUCAAGAUAUUGUGUAGGCUGAACCGCUGAAGUCAGAGUUCUAUAUGUUAUAUAGCAGGACCCUUACUUUCGUGUGUUAACUUAAUCACUGUAUGGCAUUGCCGUGUAAGAGGUAGAACCCUUCUUAGUUCAGUAUUGGGUCUUUAUCCAACUUAGGCAAUGUACAAUGUAGCUAUGUAUUUAUUACCUCUGCUCAGUAUGUAAAUGGAGAUAUUUACUCUGCAUACAUCUUUCUGAUAGAUACCUAUAUAUACUGCA
Long non-coding RNA from Lolium rigidum, 2700 nucleotides. RefSeq lists it as uncharacterized. The record is from RefSeq and is a predicted model, not a curated record. Lineage: Eukaryota; Viridiplantae; Streptophyta; Magnoliopsida; Poales; Poaceae. The transcript has 2 exons.